Molecule: ribosomal RNA, 289 nt
Filed under: uncultured bacterium
Lineage: Bacteria
Description: partial 16S ribosomal RNA
Rfam family: Bacterial small subunit ribosomal RNA
Source: RNAcentral
ACUCCUACGGGAGGCAGCAGUGGGGAAUAUUGCACAAUGGGCGCAAGCCUGAUGCAGCCAUGCCGCGUGUGUGAAGAAGGCCUUCGGGUUGUAAAGCACUUUCAGUCGUGAGGAAGGGUAGUUGUAGUUAAUGAGCUGCUAUUAUUUGACGUUAGCGACAGAAGAAGCACCGGCUAACUCCGUGCCAGCAGCCGCGGUAAUACGGAGGGUGCGAGCGUUAAUCGGAAUUACUGGGCGUAAAGCGCAUGCAGGUGGUUUGUUAAGUCAGAUGUGAAAGCCCGGGGCUCAA